UCUAUGUUGUUUGUAAGGCAGACCAGCUAAAGUCUUGGAAAGCUGAUUUGAAGGAAAAUUCCACUUAUGUCAUGCAUAAUUUUAAAGUGAGGAAGAAUGAUGGUCAAUUCAGAGUCUGUGAGCAUCAAUAUAAAUUAGUUUUUAUUGGAGUUACUGUUGUUGGGCAAUCCAAUUUAGAUGACCUUCCUUUUAAGGAAUUUAGAUUUGUUGAAUUUUCCAAUAUCAUUUAUGGCAAUUUCGAGGCUGGCCUGUUGGUUGGUAAGCUCAGUCGCAAUUUGUCCACUCAUUUUGGUCACGAUGUUUAUCUUUUUUUAAAUGACCUGUCUUUAUUUUCUGCUUCUUUAAGACAUUAUUGGCGUCGUUGAUGAGGUGCUCUUUCGCCAUGUCUCAUAAAAAAAUACCAGGGUUGUUUUUAAAAUCAAGGAUUUGAGGUUAUGUUGUACAACAAUCUUUUCUCCCCCCUAUAUAUUUGGUCAUUAUAAAUUGAUAUUGUCACCAUUUUUGUUUGCCUUGCUCCGUGAUUGUUAUCUAAAUUUGACGGUUAUUAACUGAUACAUUUAUUGUUGUUUCUUUCCUAUAGUGGCCAAGUGUUAUCUUGCACUAUUUGGGAAAAUUACUAUUUACAGUUCUUAGCCUACUUGAAUGAGAUUGAAAAUGAUGGCCCGAUGGUUAUCAUUUUGACACAUGCCAGAAUCAAAGAAGGGCAGGGUAAGUCUGAUGUCAUAUUUGCCAGUUGUGGUGCUCAUUACAUAGCAUUUCCUAUUUUUUUUGCCACACCUACAGGAUCCUAUCCACCUUCAGUGAGUAAUUUGUUGAAGGCCUCACAAUUAUUGAUUAAUGAACCUGUAUUGGAAAUCCAAGAAUUCAGGGAGAGGUAUUUUGGUCAUGUCGUUUGCUUUGUAUCUAUAAAAUUCGUGCAUCAAGUAUGUUGAAUCUUUGUUGUUAUUCUUUCCUAUUUAUUCCAUUCCCAUAGGCUUUCAGAUUUAGGUAUUGAGGUUGGGCUAGUUUUGACACCUCGCGGUCAAGGAAGAUCGCAACUUUCAGGGUCAAGCUAGUUAUCAUCAAAGGAUGCAUUUCUUUCAAAAGCUUAGGCAAAAACGAUUUCUGAGAUCAAUGUCAUUUUGAAGGAUAUUGUUUGUGUUACCGUGGGCACAAUUAGCAGAAUAGUAAUGGAUAAUCAUUCGUGGUGUUAUCCAACUUGCAUUCAAUGCCACAAGAAAACUGACAUAGAAGCAGCACCAUUCAAAUGCGGAUGUGGCAAAGAGAAUGAUCAACCUGUCCUGAGGUAUACACUUGAAGUGAAUGUGCUGAGUUGAUUGGUCAAUCAACGGAUGAAGUCAACAGGGUAAAAAUAGAAGUAUGUUAAUGUAUUAUCAUAUAAUGCUUCUUAUUUUAUGAGUAAUAUUUUGUUUCUUUGGUAUGUAAUUCAAUUCUAGCUUCUGACUCGUGGAUUUGUCUGCUUUGCGCAAGAAGGGUGAUGUUGAUCUAAAUGCUUCUCCUUAAGCACUUGUUCGACUGCUGGGUCAUGUCCUUGCUUUUAAGGUUAGGGUUCAACCAAAGUUCAGGAAUGUUGUUGUUCUUAGAUACUCAAAUGAAUUAGAUUUGAUCAAUGUUGUGCUGGACAUGCUGCCUGAUACUGAGGUUCUGUUUUCUGAUGUCUAUUUUAGUUGUUUUUGUCAUAGCAAUAUAAUGUAUGCCUUUGGCUAUUCUUAAGUUAUAUAUCAUGCAGGCAUGUUCCAAGGUAGAUAGUCUAAACCUUGAUUGCAAUGAUGCUCCACAAGUUGAAUCUAUAAGCUAAGAUUGUUGUUAUGGGUCUUGGUGGUACAUUUUUUUAUGAAGCAAUAAAAAAAUUAGCCUGCUGCGAACUUUGCAUCCGUUUAAUUUACCAGUUUA
Glycine soja is the source of this 1893-nucleotide long non-coding RNA. RefSeq lists it as uncharacterized. Lineage: Eukaryota; Viridiplantae; Streptophyta; Magnoliopsida; Fabales; Fabaceae. The transcript has 3 exons. The record is from RefSeq and is a predicted model, not a curated record.